Molecule: ribosomal RNA, 496 nt
Filed under: uncultured bacterium
Lineage: Bacteria
Description: partial 16S ribosomal RNA
Rfam family: Bacterial small subunit ribosomal RNA
Source: RNAcentral
GAUGAACGCUGGCGGCGUGCCUAAUACAUGCAAGUCGAGCGAACAGACGAGGAGCUUGCUCCUCUGACGUUAGCGGCGGACGGGUGAGUAACACGUGGAUAACCUACCUAUAAGACUGGGAUAACUUCGGGAAACCGGAGCUAAUACCGGAUAACAUGUUGAACCGCAUGGUUCAACAGUGAAAGACGGUCUUGCUGUCACUUAUAGAUGGAUCCGCGCCGCAUUAGCUAGUUGGUAAGGUAACGGCUUACCAAGGCAACGAUGCGUAGCCGACCUGAGAGGGUGAUCGGCCACACUGGAACUGAGACACGGUCCAGACUCCUACGGGAGGCAGCAGUAGGGAAUCUUCCGCAAUGGGCGAAAGCCUGACGGAGCAACGCCGCGUGAGUGAAGAAGGUCUUCGGAUCGUAAAACUCUGUUAUUAGGGAAGAACAAAUGUGUAAGUAACCAUGCACGUCUUGACGGUACCUAAUCAGAAAGCCACGGCUAACUACGU